GAUGAACGCUGGCGGCGCGCCUAAUACAUGCAAGUCGAGCGAACAGACGAGGAGCUUGCUCCUCUGACGUUAGCGGCGGACGGGUGAGUAACACGUGGAUAACCUACCUAUAAGACUGGGAUAACUUCGGGAAACCGGAGCUAAUACCGGAUAAUAUAUUGAACCGCAUGGUUCAAUAGUGAAAGACGGUUUUGCUGUCACUUAUAGAUGGAUCCGCGCCGCAUUAGCUAGUUGGUAAGGUAACGGCUUACCAAGGCGACGAUGCGUAGCCGACCUGAGAGGGUGAUCGGCCACACUGGAACUGAGACACGGUCCAGACUCCUACGGGAGGCAGCAGUAGGGAAUCUUCCGCAAUGGGCGAAAGCCUGACGGAGCAACGCCGCGUGAGUGAUGAAGGUCUUCGGAUCGUUAAACUCUGUUAUUAGGGAAGAACAAAUGUGUAAGUAACUAUGCACGUCUUGACGGUACCUAAUCAGAAAGCCACGGCUAACUACGUG
Molecule: ribosomal RNA, 497 nt
Filed under: uncultured bacterium
Lineage: Bacteria
Description: partial 16S ribosomal RNA
Rfam family: Bacterial small subunit ribosomal RNA
Source: RNAcentral